GGACGGAUUGAGCUGGGAAUACUACCUUCAAUGUAAUUGCGGGACAAAUCAAGAUGAGUGAGAGAUGUCAUGUUUCCGAUGGAAGCAGGCAGCUUACCAUGCACAAAAUUGUUAUCCAAUUGAAGAACCUCUAACUUGCUCCAGCUCUGCUUGAAUAGUUGAUAGCUGCUGACACCGAGAUUAUUGUUACCAAUAUUCAAGAACCGCAGAUUUGGUAGGUUGCAAAAACCAAUUGAAUUGCUCCCCUGAAUGCUGUUAUAGCUGAGAUCAACAGAUAGGAGGCUACUGAUAUUCACAAGCCAUCUGGGGAUCGAGUUCAAGUUGUUGUAACUGAGGUCUAUGACAGCAAGUGAACUAGAAUUAGCAAAGCUAACAAACAAAGUGGACCUUUGUAAGUUACAAUCAGAUAAGUGAACUUCACUUAAAGCUGGAAGCAUGCUAAGUGGUCUAACCCAUUUUGAUCCUACCAUUGCAAGGUCAACCCCAUCCAACACUAGAUAUUUCAGGGACGUGAGGCCAGUAACCCAUUCAAGAUUAUCAAGAAAAUUUUCUCCAAAAGUGGAAGAGAUGUCAAGGUGCUGCAAGGAAGAGAUGUUUCCCAAAUUUGGAGGUAUUUUUCCACCAAAUCCAGAAUUUGCCAAGUUUAGAUAUCGCAGUCUCUCAAAAGACUCAAAGAAUGUAGGAAUUUGGUUGCCAUUGAAUGCAUUAAAACUCAAGUCUAAAUAUUCCAAGGACUUUAGUUUUGCUAAUGAUGAUCUAAGCUCCCCUCCUAACGCAAACUUUCCUGGAAAUUGAUCUGGGUUGUGGAUAUCAACAGUAAUUACAGCUCCAGUUCUAUUGUUGCAGCCUAUUCCCCACCAUUGACAGCAAUCGCCUCCUUGCCAUGAUGUGAGAAGGUUAUUUGGAUCCGAGAGUCCAUUUUUGAACUCAAUAAGAGCUUCUCUGUCGGAUGCUUUGCAAUUCACUAACUGGGCAUUGCCAUUAUGAGCAAGUCCAUAAUAUAUAGCAUUGAACAUGCAUUGACAUAAUCAUCAGAUAGUUGCAUUGGACUUGUUCUGUUCACCCGGGUUCCAAACGGCAUAUGAUAACAACUGGUGGCGAACAAUGAUUUUUGUCAUCUUGAGAUA
This 1127-nucleotide unclassified non-coding RNA is filed under the name Hevea brasiliensis (rubber tree). The record is from RNAcentral. Lineage: Eukaryota; Viridiplantae; Streptophyta; Magnoliopsida; Malpighiales; Euphorbiaceae.